CCUACGGGUGGCAGCAGUCGAGAAUCAUUCACAAUGGGGGAAACCCUGAUGGUGCGACGCCGCGUGGGGGAAUGAAGGUCUUCGGAUUGUAAACACCUGUCAUGUGGGCGCAAAUUAAAAAGAUAGUACCACAAGAGGAAGAGACGGCUAACUCUGUGCCAGCAGCCGCGGUCAUACAGAGGUCUCAAGCGUUGUUCGGAAUCACUGGGCGUAAAGCGUGCGUAGGCUGUUUCGUAAGUCGUGUGUGAAAGGCGCGGGCUCAACCCGCGGACGGCACAUGAUACUGCGAGACUAGAGUAAUGGAGGGGGAACCGGGAUUCUCGGUGUAGCAGUGAAAUGCGUAGAGAUCGAGAGGAACACUCGUGGCGAAGGCGGGUUCCUGGACAUUAACUGACGCUGAGGCACGAAGGCCAGGGGAGCGAAAGGGAUUAGAUACCCGUGUAGUC
This 446-nucleotide ribosomal RNA is filed under the name uncultured bacterium. Its description in RNAcentral is "partial 16S ribosomal RNA". It matches the Rfam family "Bacterial small subunit ribosomal RNA", at positions 338 to 795 of the family's 1533-position model. The record is from RNAcentral.